RNAcentral lists this ribosomal RNA (406 nucleotides) under uncultured bacterium. Its description in RNAcentral is "bacterial SSU rRNA". It matches the Rfam family "Bacterial small subunit ribosomal RNA", at positions 355 to 773 of the family's 1533-position model. The record is from RNAcentral.
UGGGGAAUUUUGGACAAUGGGCGGAAGCCUGAUGCAGCGACGCCGCGUGAGGGAUGAAGGCCUUCGGGUUGUAAACCUCUUUCAGCAGGGACGAAGCGUGAGUGACGGUACCUGCAGAAGAAGCACCGGCUAACUACGUGCCAGCAGCCGCGGUAAUACGUAGGGUGCGAGCGUUGUCCGGAAUUACUGGGCGUAAAGAGUUCGUAGGCGGUUUGUCGCGUCGUUUGUGAAAACCCGGGGCUCAACUUCGGGCUUGCAGGCGAUACGGGCAGACUUGAGUGUUUCAGGGGAGACUGGAAUUCCUGGUGUAGCGGUGAAAUGCGCAGAUAUCAGGAGGAACACCGAUGGCGAAGGCAGGUCUCUGGGCCACUACUGACGCUGAGAAGCGAAAGCAUGGGGAGCGAAC